AGCGAACGCUGGCGGCAGGCUUAACACAUGCAAGUCGAGCGGGCACUUCGGUGUCAGCGGCAGACGGGUGAGUAACACGUGGGAACGUACCCUUCGGUUCGGAAUAACGCUGGGAAACUAGCGCUAAUACCGGAUACGCCCUUUUGGGGAAAGGUUUACUGCCGAAGGAUCGGCCCGCGUCUGAUUAGCUAGUUGGUGGGGUAAUGGCCUACCAAGGCGACGAUCAGUAGCUGGUCUGAGAGGAUGAUCAGCCACACUGGGACUGAGACACGGCCCAGACUCCUACGGGAGGCAGCAGUGGGGAAUAUUGGACAAUGGGCGCAAGCCUGAUCCAGCCAUGCCGCGUGAGUGAUGAAGGCCUUAGGGUUGUAAAGCUCUUUUGUCCGGGACGAUAAUGACGGUACCGGAAGAAAAAGCCCCGGCUAACUUCGUG
Molecule: ribosomal RNA, 433 nt
Filed under: uncultured bacterium
Lineage: Bacteria
Description: partial 16S ribosomal RNA
Rfam family: Bacterial small subunit ribosomal RNA
Source: RNAcentral